GGGGGGGGCGUGCUUAUACUGCAGUCGAACGGGAUGCUUAUUGCAUCUAGUGGCGAACGGGUGAGUAACACGUAUCUAAUCUACCCAUUAGCGGGGGAUAACAGUUGGAAACGACUGCUAAUACCGCAUAAGAUAUUUUUUGGCAUCAAAUAAUAUUAAAAGAUCCUAAUGGAAUACUAAUGGAUGAGGGUGCGGCGUAUUAGUUAGUUGGUAAGGUAAAAGCUUACCAAGACGAUGAUACGUAGCUGAACUGAGAGGUUGAUCGGCCACAUCGGGACUGAGACACGGCCCGAACUCCUACGGGAGGCAGCAGUAGGGAAUUUUUCACAAUGGGCGAAAGCCUGAUGGAGCAAUGCCGCGUGACUGAAGAAGGUUUUAGGAUUGUAAAGGUCUGUUGUAAAGGAAGAAAAGUAAUUAUAGGAAAUGAUAGUUAUUUGACGGUACUUUACCAGAAAGCCACGGCUAACUAUGUGCCAGCAGCCGCGGUAAUACAUAGGUGGCAAGCGUUAUCCGGAUUUAUUGGGCGUAAAGAGUGCGCAGACGGGUUAAUAAGUUUGAGGUAAAAUUCUGGAGCUUAACUUCAGGUAGCCUUGAAAACUGUUAAUCUAGAGUAUAGGAGAAGUUAACGGAAUUCCAUGUGUAGCGGUGAAAUGCGUAGAUAUAUGGAGGAACACCAGUGGCGAAGGCGGUUAACUAGACUAUUACUGACGUUUAGGCACGAAAGCGUAGGGAGCAAAUAGGAUUAGAUACCCUAGUAGUCUACGCUGUAAACGAUGAGUACUAAGUGUCGGACUAAGUUCGGUGCUGUAGCUAACGCAUUAAGUACUCCGCCUGAGUAGUAUGCUCGCAAGAGUGAAACUCAAAGGAAUUGACGGGGACCCGCACAAGCGGUGGAACAUGUGGUUUAAUUCGAAGCAACGCGAAAAACCUUACCAAGGCUUGACUUCCAAUGCAAAGCUAUAGAAAUUUAGUGGA
This 975-nucleotide ribosomal RNA is filed under the name uncultured Spiroplasma sp. RNAcentral's name for it is "bacterial SSU rRNA". It matches the Rfam family "Bacterial small subunit ribosomal RNA", at positions 35 to 1015 of the family's 1533-position model. The record is from RNAcentral. Lineage: Bacteria; Bacillati; Mycoplasmatota; Mollicutes; Entomoplasmatales; Spiroplasmataceae.